Small nuclear RNA from Anguilla rostrata (American eel), 157 nucleotides. RefSeq annotates it as U1 spliceosomal RNA. The record is from RefSeq and is a predicted model, not a curated record. The transcript has a single exon. NCBI's taxonomy places the organism in Eukaryota, Metazoa, Chordata, Actinopteri, Anguilliformes, Anguillidae.
AUACUUACCUGGCGGGGGAGAUACCAUGAUCACGAAGGUGGUUCACCCCAGGGCGUAGGCUCGCCUUGCACUUGGUCAGCUGACCCUGCGAUUCCCCAAAUUGUGAAUCUCGACCGCAUAAUUUCUGCUAGUGGGGGACUGCUCUCGCUCUCCCUGA